Molecule: small RNA, 474 nt
Filed under: Pan troglodytes (chimpanzee)
Lineage: Eukaryota; Metazoa; Chordata; Mammalia; Primates; Hominidae
Description: processed transcript
Source: RNAcentral
CGGCUGCAGUGGCCGCCGCUGGAGACCGCGGGACCUGGCGCUGCAGCGAGAUUUUCAAACACCGCAUUCCCCUUAAACCUCCCAGGCUCCCAUCACUCCCAGCAAAGAGCCAGCCCGCUACUUUAUGGAGACAGGAGAGACUGUCAGACAGUUCCUGCUGCUGUCCAGGUGCAUCCGAGAGAGCAAGCCCUGGAGGUUCACUCUUUCAAGAAGUCGUGUGCUGAGGUGUAAUGCUACACAAGUCAGAGGAAAGAAGGGUCCUGAAACACAUGGCCUGAUUGUUGGCAAAGGCAUCGUAAGAAGCUGGCAUUUAUUUCUGUUCUAACCUAUUACUGUAUAGCUGUGAAUAGACACUAUGCAUAUUUGUUGGUCAGCAAAACCAAGAAACAAGAGCUAUGGCAUUUGAAAAAGUCUGUCUGAUUCCAGGGUGUUUUUCCUGGGUUUCAUCAUCAGGUACCUCCUCCCUUUCAUCUC